This 425-nucleotide ribosomal RNA is filed under the name uncultured bacterium. RNAcentral describes it as "partial 16S ribosomal RNA". It matches the Rfam family "Bacterial small subunit ribosomal RNA", at positions 354 to 796 of the family's 1533-position model. The record is from RNAcentral.
GUUAGGAAUAUUGGACAAUGGGCGCAAGCCUGAUCCAGCCAUGCCGCGUGAGUGAUGAAGGCCUUCGGGUUGUAAAGCUCUUUAGCCGAUGAUUAUAAUGACUGUAGUCGGAAAAUAAGCCCCGGCUAACUUCGUGCCAGCAGCCGCGGUAAUACGAAGGGGGCGAGCGUUAUUCGGAAUCACUGGGCGUAAAGCGUGCGUAGGCGGCUUUGCAAGUUGGGAGUGAAAGCCCAGGGCUCAACCCUGGAAUUGCUCUCAAAACUGCAAGGCUCGAAUUCGGGAGAGGAUAGCGGAAUUGUCAGUGUAGCAGUGAAAUGCGUAGAUAUUGACAGGAACACCAGUGGCGUAAGCGGCUAUCUGGACCGAUAUUGACGCUGAGGCACGAAAGCGUGGGGAGCAAACAGGAUUAGAUACCCGAGUAGUCC